CAGUCGCCGCGGGAAGACGAACCGUCCGAACGUUAUUCGGAAUUACUGGGCUUAAAGCGCGUGUAGGCGGCUCGGCACGUCUGGUGUUGAAAUCCCCCGGCUUAACCGGGGAAGUGGCACAGAUACGGCCGAGCUCGAGGGAGGUAGGGGGGUCUGGAACUUCCGGUGGAGCGGUGAAAUGCGUUGAGAUCGGAAGGAACGCCCGUGGCGAAAGCGAGGCCCUGGACCUUUUCUGACGCUGAGACGCGAAAGCCAGGGGAGCGAACGGGAUUAGAUACCCCCGUAGUCCCUGUCUCUUAUA
RNAcentral lists this ribosomal RNA (301 nucleotides) under uncultured bacterium. Its description in RNAcentral is "partial 16S ribosomal RNA". It matches the Rfam family "Bacterial small subunit ribosomal RNA", at positions 509 to 807 of the family's 1533-position model. The record is from RNAcentral.